RNAcentral lists this ribosomal RNA (547 nucleotides) under uncultured bacterium. RNAcentral describes it as "partial 16S ribosomal RNA". It matches the Rfam family "Bacterial small subunit ribosomal RNA", at positions 355 to 895 of the family's 1533-position model. The record is from RNAcentral.
UGGGGAAUUUUGGACAAUGGGCGAAAGCCUGAUCCAGCAAUGCCGCGUGUGUGAAGAAGGCCUUCGGGUUGUAAAGCACUUUUGUCCGGAAAGAAAUCCUCUGGGUUAAUACCUCGGGGGGAUGACGGUACCGGAAGAAUAAGCACCGGCUAACUACGUGCCAGCAGCCGCGGUAAUACGUAGGGUGCAAGCGUUAAUCGGAAUUACUGGGCGUAAAGCGUGCGCAGGCGGUUUUGUAAGACGGAUGUGAAAUCCCCGGGCUUAACCUGGGAACUGCAUUCGUGACUGCAAGGCUAGAGUAUGGCAGAGGGGGGUAGAAUUCCGCGUGUAGCAGUGAAAUGCGUAGAGAUGUGGAGGAAUACCGAUGGCGAAGGCAGCCCCCUGGGCCAAUACUGACGCUCAUGCACGAAAGCGUGGGGAGCAAACAGGAUUAGAUACCCUGGUAGUCCACGCCCUAAACGAUGUCAACUAGUUGUUGGGGAUUCAUUUCCUUAGUAACGUAGCUAACGCGUGAAGUUGACCGCCUGGGGAGUACGGUCGCAAGAUU